Molecule: unclassified non-coding RNA, 332 nt
Filed under: soil metagenome
Description: partial contains 5.8S ribosomal RNA, internal transcribed spacer 2, and large subunit ribosomal RNA
Rfam family: 5.8S ribosomal RNA (bases 1-120)
Source: RNAcentral
GAUGAAGAACACAGCGAAAUGCGAUACGUAAUGUGAAUUGCAGAUUUCAGUGAAUCAUCGAAUCUUUGAACGCACAUUGCGCCCGCUAGUAUUCUGGCGGGCAUGCCUGUUCGAGCGUCAUUUCAACCAUCAAGCCCUAGGCUUGCGUUGGAGCCCUGCGGCUGCCGCAGGCUCCCAAAUCCAGUGGCGGGCUCGUCGUCGUACCGAGUGCAGUAAACAUCCUCGCUCAGGGAACGUGACGGGUUCUUGCCGUGAAACCCCCCACAUAUCAAGGUUGACCUCGGAUCAGGUAGGAAUACCCGCUGAACUUAAGCAUAUCAAUAAGCGGAGGA